GAUGAACGCUGGCGGCGUGCUUAACACAUGCAAGUCGAACGAAGCGCUUUAACGUAUCCCUUUCGGGGUGAAGUUGAAGUGACUGAGUGGCGGACGGGUGAGUAACGCGUGGGUAACCUGCCUCAUACAGGGGGAUAACAGUUGGAAACGACUGCUAAUACCGCAUAAGCGCACAGUAUCGCAUGAUACCGUGUGAAAAGAUUUAUCAGUAUGAGAUGGACCCGCGUCUGAUUAGCUAGUUGGUGAGGUAACGGCCCACCAAGGCGACGAUCAGUAGCCGGCUUGAGAGAGUGAACGGCCACAUUGGGACUGAGACACGGCCCAAACUCCUACGGGAGGCUG
RNAcentral lists this ribosomal RNA (342 nucleotides) under uncultured Bacillota bacterium. RNAcentral describes it as "bacterial SSU rRNA". It matches the Rfam family "Bacterial small subunit ribosomal RNA", at positions 28 to 351 of the family's 1533-position model. The record is from RNAcentral. Lineage: Bacteria; Bacillati; Bacillota.